CUUUAACAGCUAACUUAAGCCUCACCCCUCUUCUUUCAUAUCAUGCACCACAUCUGUGAAAGUUGAUAAGAAAGCUCAGGUGCUCCCUCCCUAAGCACCCAUGGGAGAGUCAAACUACACGAGUCCCUGCUCACACACGUGCAGGAAUCCUCGCACCAGCCCCACCCACUAACCAAAUAAAAACCCCUGCUCUCUCAAGCCAAUCUAACACCACCUUAAGCAGCCUGCCUUGCUCUUCUCAGAAACCCUCAUUAGGUUUAAUUAUAUUCACAUGGAUGGCGUGGAACAAAACCAGAUGCAGGGAUUUUGAGUUCAAUACCAACAGCACUGACCUAAAGGCUGAGACUGUAUCAAACCCUUCAGACUGGAAGUGGAAGUAGAAAUUUGGCUGGCUUACUUUCUGGUGCAUGAGACAUUACGGUGGCACACAUUUUUUGUGCGUACCAUUACCGACGAUGUUCACCUCAAUUACUUCAUUGAGGUCGUGCCUGGCAGGGUCCACUGAGAUUACCCUAGAUAACGAAGGUGGGACCCAUUCAAUCAGUAGAAAGGCCUUAAGAGCAACAGCUGAAGAAGAAAAACAUCUGCCUCAAGACAGCAGCAUCAUCUCCUACCUGAUUUUCCAGCCAGCUGGGCUGUCCUAUGUAUUUUGGACUUGCCAGCCCCUCAAUCACAUGAGCCAAUCCCUUGAAAUAAAUCUUAGUAUCUUUGUAGAACAUAUUAAUAAUUAAUUAAUUGUAUGUAAAAUUUAUAUUUUUCAUCUAUUUAUAAUCCUUUUGGUUCUGUCUCUCUGUAGAACCCUGACUUAUCUGACUCAUAAAGAUUUUGGUACUGGGAAUGGUUUAGGCAGAAGAGAAUCUUGAGGAUGAGUUUUCUAGAUUGAUUCUAUGGAGGUACUUUGAAAUUUAAAAGUGCCCUAUUGCGCAUCAAAGUGUCAAUUUAUCCAUUCUUUCACGUACAUCAGUAUGGACUCAUGGUUCCCUAAUUUAUUCAAGGGUUUAUAAUCUAUUUUUUUACUAACUUUAUUGAAAUAUCAUUCAUUUGGCAUAUAAUCUACGCACUUAAAGUACAGAAUUUAAUGACUUUUAGUAUAGUCACAGAAUUGUGAAGCCAUAACCACAAUUAAUUUUUGAAUACUUUCCUCACCAGAAAAUGAGGAAAGACCUGUACACUUUAGUUAUUAUCUCUAAAACUCUUCAUCUUAUUCAGGCUUGGCAACCACUGAUCUACUUUCCAUCUCUACACAUUUGCCUAUUCUAGACAUUUUGUAUAAGUGGGACAAUAUAAUAUGUAGUAUUUUUGUGGCUGGCUUACUUCACUUAGUGUAAUGUUUUAAAGAUUCGUCUAUGUUAUAUAUCAAUAUAUUAUUCUUGUUUAUAGUCAAAAAUAUUCUGUUGUGUAGAAUACCAUAUUUUGUUUAUCCACUCAUCGCUGAUGGAAAUUUAGAUUAUUUUCACCUUUUGGCUACCAUGAAUAAGGCCACUAAAGACACUUGUACACAAAUUUUUUUGUGGACAUAUGUUUUCAGUUCUCUUGAGUAUAUACCUAGGAGUAGAAUUGAUGAGUCUAAUGAUAGGUGUAUGUUUAACUUUUUGAGGAACUGCCAGAUCAUUUUCCAAAGUGGCUCUACCAUUUUGCACUGCACCAGCAAUGUAUGAGGGUUCCAAUUUCUCCACAUUCUUGCUAGCAGUUGCUAUUCCUAGUUUGAUUAUAAUCAUUUUAGUUGGUAUGGCAUGGUAUCUCAUUCUGGUUUUGAUUUGCAUUUCCCUAAUGACUAAUAAUGUUGAGCAUCUUUUAUGUGCUUGUAGGCCAUUUGUAUAUUUUCUUUGGAGAACUGUCUGUUCAGGUUCCUGAUCUGUUUUAUAAUUGUAUUAUUUGUCUUUUUAAUUACUAAGUUGUAAGAAUUCCUUACAUAUUCUACAGACAAAUCCCUCAUCAGAUAUAUGAUUUGUAAAUAUCUUCUCCCAUUCUGUGGGUUAUCUUUUCUUUUGUGAUAGUAUCCAUUGAAACACAAAAGUGUUCCAUUUUUAUGAAGCCACAUUCAUCUAUUUUUUGUUGUUGUUGCUUGUGCUUUUCAUGUCAUGGUAAGAAUACAUUGCCAAAUCCAGGGUCACAAAGAUUUACUCCCAUAUUUUCUUCCCAGAUUUCAUAGCUUUAGUUAUUACAUUAGGUUUUCUUUCAAUUCCGAGCUGUACGUGAUGUGAGAUAAGGAUCCACCUUUGUUCUUUUGCAUGUGGACAACCAGUUUCUCAGCACCAUUUAUUGAAAAAUCUAUUCUUCCAUUAAAUUGCACUAAGAUGUCAUGGAAAAUGAAGAAGUUGAAAGCUCAAGUAAUUAGUGCCUCAACUGAACCAAUCAUUAAGCUGGUAAAAACUGAUAGAAUCAACUAUUUUAGAACUCUGAAAUCUAAAAAAGCUUACAGCAACCAAGUGAGUGCUUAAUGAAGAAAAAGACUAUAAAUUUCAAUAAGAAAGCUUUGUAGCAUUUUUGCUCACCUGCCUACCAUCCUUCAUUCUCCAGCUUAGUGGUGGCUGUCUGGACAGAGGCUCACGUUACCAGUGAGAAUUGCUGAUGCCAAGGAGGCAAUACAGACUUGGUUCUCAAAAAACCAUGCUUGUGAAUUUUGACCUAACUGGCAGUUCUGUGAGGGACUGGCACAAAGGGCCAGGGCCAGAUGUAUGCUCUAUGUUCAGAAAACAACUGAGAGGGCCACAGGCUUGCACCUCUGGCUAAUCUGUGGGCUUCAUGCAAGUAAGAAGUAAAGCAAAAGGCAGAGUUAUAUGCAGCCUGGCUUAGUGUUGAAGGAGUGCUCCAGCUCAGAACCAAUCUGCAAAGAUAGGGGGAGGGGUGUGUGUGUGUGUGUGUGUGUGUGUGUGUGUGUGUGUGUGUGUGUGUGUUGAGGAAGAUCAGUUUGUCUUUGUUUUUGUUUUCUCUUGACUCCAGGCAUUAAGGAAAUCUCUGUCAGCUGUCAAGUUACUGGCUGACCACUGAGAUAACAGAACAGAGACUUCUGUGACCACACAUGACUAGGAACACAGUCUUUGCAAUAAUUGUUUGGAAAAGUACUAAACAAAUGGAUAACUCCAUCCCUUAACAAUCAACAAGAGCAAACCUUUGAUGGGGGGAGAAUCUGAUUUACAGAGUUACCACAUUACAAUAUUCAGAUGUUCACUUUUCAACAAAAAAUUACAAGGCAUACAAAGAAACAAGAAAGUAUGGCCAAUUCACAGGAAAGAAAGAAAUUGACAGAAACCAUCCUUGAGGAAGUCCAGGCAUUGGAUUUAUAGAAAAGACUUUAAAUCAACUGUAGUGUGACAUGAUUAGAAAAUAUUAUUGGCAGUAAAUUUUUAAUUAUAUGCUCAGAGUAAAACAACUGAAACCUUAUUUUCAUUAGACUGACUGCCACCAACUCUGUUUAUUUUUAAUGCAGUUCUUUUUUCUACUUACUACUACUCUAUAUUCAGCUUUGGAAUUAAAACCUUCAACUCCUCGCUUGCUCCAGAUAAGGGAGAAUAGGAUAGUUCUCUUAAAGCUGGUGUUCAGCAUUAGUGUGAAAGGUGAUGCUAUCUAUUCUCUGACUGGAUCACUCAAAAGGUAUGGAUCUGUGGGGAAAAAUGAGAAUGCUACUAGACCAGUGCAUCCCAAAGUGCUGGCCUGUGGACUGUGUUGUGUUCUGGUCCACAAUGAGAUAAGAAAUUGAGAGUAAGUGUUUAAGAACUUUUAUAGAAAUUUCAAAGAGUAAUUCUAUGUCUGUGGAAUAGAAUAAUAAAAAAUUAGGUAGUAUUUCAAUGCUUUUUAUUUCAUUUUUCCAGUAAUUUGUUUUUAUUGUAUUUUACAGAAGUACUGAUCCACAACAUAUUAGGAAAAAAACAUUUUUUAAUUAAUCCUUCACCAUAGAUUGUUUGAGAGCAUUGUUCUAAUCAGCUUCACCAGACCUCAUAGGUCAGGUUUUAUUUGGGAGGAAUGUAAUGAUUUCCUAAAAUGCCAAAGAUCUAUAUCUCAAUGUGAAAACAAAAUUGACAAACCAUUUACCAGACUAGAAAAGAAAAAAAAAAGAGAGAAGACUCAAAUUACUAAAGUCAGGAAUGAGAAAGAAUUACUCCUAUCAUUUUGGGGAUCCCUUCUUUUUCAAAGAACUACUUUUGGUUUUGUUGGUUCUAUUGAUUUUCUGUUCUUAUUCUGUUUAUUUAUGCUCUAGUCUCUAUUAUUUCCUUCCAUCUGCUUGCUUGGGCUUAGUUGUUCUUUUUCUAGUUUCUUAAGGUGAAAGUUUAGGUUAUUGCUUGAAAUUGUUUUAAUGUAGGCUUUAACAGCUAUUAAUUUCUAGUUGAGCAUUGCUUUUUCUGUGUUCCAUAAGUUUUGGUAUAUUGUUAUUUUCAUUCAUCUCAGAAUAUUUCCUAAUUUCCCUUCUGAUUUCUUCUUCAUCCCAUUGGUUAUUUAGCAUUUGUUAAUUUUCCAAAUUUUAUUCUGUUGUUGAUUUCUAAUUUCCUCCCCUUGUGAUUAGAAAACGUACUGUGAAUUAUUUCAAUCAUUUUAAAUUUAUCAAAACUAUUUUGUGACCUAAUGUGUGGUUUAUCUUGGAGAAUGUUUCAUGCACACUUUAUAAGAAUGUGUAUUCUGCUAUUAUUGUCUGAAGUGAUCUGUAGAUGUGUGUUAGGUCUUGCUGUAUAAUGUUGUUCAGUUUGCUAUUUUCUUGUUGAUUUUCUAUAUAUUAAUGGAAAUGGGAUAUUAAAGUUUCCAACUAGUGUUGCUGAAUUGUCCUUUCUUUCAAUGGUGUCAGCUAUGCUUCAUAUAUUUUGGGACUCUGAUGUUAAGUGCAUGUAUAUUUAUACUUGUGAUGUUUUCUUGAAGUGUUGACUCUUUUCAUUAUGCAAUGUCCUUCUUUGUCUUUUAUAACAAUUUUUGUCUUAAAGUCUAUUUUGUCUGAUAUUAGCAUAGUCACUCCGGCUCUCAUUUGGUUACUGUUUGCAUGGAAUUCCUUUUUCCAUCCUUUUACUUUAAACUCUUUGUGUCUUUGAAUGUAAAGUGAGACAGUUGUAGAUAGCAUAUAGUUGGAUAUUGUUUUGAAAUCCAUUCUGCCAAUCUCUGACUUUUAAAUAGACAGUUUCAUAGAUUUACAUUUAGUCUAAUUACUGAUAAGAAAGAAUUACUUCUGCCUUUUUGCUGUAUAUUUUCUAUACGUCAUACCUUUUUUUCCCUUUCAAUUCCUCCAUUACUCUUUUCUUUUGUUUUAAAUAGAUGUUUUCUAGUGCGUCAAUUUAAUUCCUAUGUCAUUUCUUUUACUAUAUAUUUUUGAGUUAUUUUCUUUGUGGUUGCCCUGAGAAUGAUAGUUAUCAAAUUAACUUAUAAUAAUAUAGUUCAGAUUAAUAUUUCUUUUACUCUAUUAUUUACUUAUUUUUCUUUCCCUGUGGUACUGGCCAAAACUUUCAAAAUUUUGUUAAAUGGUGGUAAGUGCCCUUGUUUUCUUCCAGUCCUUUCAUUUUAAAUGAAAGCUGAUGUAUAACGUUGGCCUUCCACAGAGGGGUGCUAAACAUAGUAGGGGCACUGAACAAACAUAAAUUCCCUACCUGGCAUAGAGUAUGUGCUCACUAAAUUUUUGCUGAAUGAAAUUAUAUAUUUUGUGUGUGUUUGGUCAUGAUUAUAACUUUCCCACUUCAAUUCCUCCCAUCUUCCUCAUCCUCAGCUGAUGCUCCCAGACAUGCCGUGCUUCCAUUUUACUGUGCUUUUGUGUGUGCCUUACAGACCAAAAUGUAUUCCUCCUCUAAUCUUUGUAUAAAGAUAUUAUUUAUCCUUGUAAAUAGUUUACAUCAAUUCUAUUUUAAAAUUUUACUUAAUUUCUUCCUCGAGACUGAAAUAUCUUUAAUUUUCCCCUUUUUAUUACCCCAGAUGAUGUGUUUUGCUCACAUUUACAACACCCCUUGCCUUUCAGUGUAAGGAUGCUGUUUAUACAUCUUUUCUCUCAACUAGACUGUGACCUACUGAGGAUAAAGAUCAGGAUGUCUCUUUUAUUUGUAUCUUCAGUACAGUAUUUAUCCUAUUGAUGGGUGAUACUGUGUGUUGAACAAAAAAGAAAGUGAUGAUUCUAUUUAUAAUGUACUUUACAAUGUAAAGGACUCAGAGAUGGUCUGAAGUAGAUGACUGAGUGACGAUAAUCUGAUGGUUGGUUCUCCCAGAAUGCUGCAAUGAUCAGCCUAGUUCUGAUGUCCACUUGGAGAUGAAGAAUUAAGUUUAGGUAAAAUAACCAGAUCUUCCAUAUGGUUGUGCAGCACCACCGCCUACCACCUUAGUAUGAAUUCUACCCCUCAGGUGCA
Molecule: long non-coding RNA, 6308 nt
Organism: Equus caballus (horse)
Lineage: Eukaryota; Metazoa; Chordata; Mammalia; Perissodactyla; Equidae
Source: Ensembl